GAGUACAAUCCAUAACACGGAAUAUUCUCUCAAUCUCUUUCAACCAUCCCAAGGCUGCAUCUGGAUCAUGCUUUCCUUUAAACACCGGCGGAUUCUCUCUCUGAAAAGUCGCCCAAGCUACGUGAUCCAGCAUCUCCACCAGCAUUUGGCAAGUUCUGCACAGCUUUGUGCCAUUGCUUGCAUUGCGGCAGCCAUUGCAGCG
Molecule: long non-coding RNA, 202 nt
Filed under: Lathyrus oleraceus (garden pea)
Lineage: Eukaryota; Viridiplantae; Streptophyta; Magnoliopsida; Fabales; Fabaceae
Description: Pisum sativum (pea) long non-coding RNA (PSAT_LNC031365)
Source: RNAcentral